This 389-nucleotide long non-coding RNA is filed under the name Capsicum annuum. Its description in RNAcentral is "long non-coding RNA (CANN_LNC002033)". The record is from RNAcentral. Lineage: Eukaryota; Viridiplantae; Streptophyta; Magnoliopsida; Solanales; Solanaceae.
CCGCCUAAUCACCUCACCCCAGUACUUCUUCGGCCUACCCCUACCCCGCCUAAAACCAUCCAACGCUAGCCUCUCACACCUACGGACCGGGGCAUCCAUGCCCCUCCUCUUCACAUGUCCGAACCAGCUCAAUCGUGCUUCCCGUAUCUUGCACUUCACUGAAGUCACACCAACCUUCUCCCAGAUAGUCUCAUUCCGAACUCUAUCCCCUCUAGUCAGUCCACACAUCCAGUGCAACAUCCGCAUUUCUGCCACCUUCAUUUUUUAGAUGUGGGAGUUCUUAAAUGGCCAACACUCCGCUCCAUACAACAAGGCCGGACGGACUACCACCCUGUAGAAUUUGCCUUUAAGCUUAGGCGGCACCUUCUUAUCACACAGCACCCCCAACG